RNAcentral lists this transfer RNA (72 nucleotides) under Camelus bactrianus (Bactrian camel). It matches the Rfam family "tRNA". From Rfam's summary of the family: Transfer RNA (tRNA) molecules are approximately 80 nucleotides in length. Their secondary structure includes four short double-helical elements and three loops (D, anti-codon, and T loops). RNAcentral also lists the same sequence under 2 other names. The record is from Rfam by way of RNAcentral. Lineage: Eukaryota; Metazoa; Chordata; Mammalia; Artiodactyla; Camelidae.
GAGGGUAUAGCUCAAGUGGCAGAGUGUAUGCUUAGCAUGCAUGAGGUCCUAGGUUCAAUCCCCAGAACCUCU